This 21-nucleotide non-coding RNA is filed under the name Caenorhabditis elegans. The record is from RNAcentral. Lineage: Eukaryota; Metazoa; Nematoda; Chromadorea; Rhabditida; Rhabditidae.
UGGGCGUACAGUUUGAACUUC